Molecule: long non-coding RNA, 607 nt
Filed under: Marmota monax (woodchuck)
Lineage: Eukaryota; Metazoa; Chordata; Mammalia; Rodentia; Sciuridae
Source: RNAcentral
CCUAAUUUGAGACCAUGAUUUGUUUUGAGGCAGGGCAGAGGAUACAAAGAGGUAUUCUGGAUUCCAGUUAUUUAUUGCUAGCUAUGAUUUGAAUGUGUUCUCUCAGAACUUGAUACUGAAAUAUAGGAAUCAUUUUGGUGAUACUAAGAGAUUGGGCCUUGGGAGAAGUGUUUAAAUCACCGUCAUGAUCAGAUUAAUGCCUAAAAAAGGGCUGGAGACAACUCUAUUAUGCCUAUCCACUCUCUGCUCUUCUGUUUUGUGAGGGCACAGUGUUCAGGCCACCAUCUUGGAAGCAGAGAUUUGGCCCUCACCAGACACCAAACCUAUAGGUACCUUGAUCUUGGGACUUUCCAGCCACCAUAGCUAUGAUAAAAAUUCUAUUAUUUGCAAAUUACCCGUCUCAGGUACUUUGUUAUAGCAACACAAAAGAACUAACACACUGUUCUAUGCAAUAUCUAAAAAUCCAUCACUUGGUGUCAAUCUACUCUUACUGAUUUGAUUGUGAGUUAAAUAGAAUCAAUAGCUGCUUUCUUCAAUAUGGCAUUGAGCACCUUGCUUCCUACCCUCAGACAAGGUUUUGACAUACUUUUCAUGUCAUACACCCACC